This 253-nucleotide ribosomal RNA is filed under the name uncultured bacterium. RNAcentral's name for it is "partial 16S ribosomal RNA". It matches the Rfam family "Bacterial small subunit ribosomal RNA", at positions 524 to 776 of the family's 1533-position model. The record is from RNAcentral.
UACGGGGGGGGCAAGCGUUGUUCGGAAUUACUGGGCGUAAAGGGCUCGUAGGCGGCCAACUAAGUCGGAUGUGAAAUCCCCAGGCUCAACCUGGGAACUGCAUCCGAUACUGGAUGGCUUGAAUCCGGGAGAGGGAUGCAGAAUUCCAGGUGUAGCGGUGAAAUGCGUAGAUAUCGAGAGGAACACCUGCGGCGAAGGCGGGUUGCUGGGCUGACACUGACGCUGAGGCGCGAAAGCUAGGGGAGCGAACGGG